UUUGUUAUAGUCUAGUUGGUUAGGAUAUUUGGUUCACAUCCAAAAGACCAGACCUGGGUUCAAGUCCCAGUGAUGGAA
Molecule: non-coding RNA, 78 nt
Organism: Rosa chinensis
Lineage: Eukaryota; Viridiplantae; Streptophyta; Magnoliopsida; Rosales; Rosaceae
Source: the annotation of a RefSeq genome assembly